AAUGUUGCUGAAGUUUCUCAUUUGCAAAAUUAAUGCAGAACUGCUCAAAACUGAGGAUAGUAAUAAUGGUAAAGAAAAAUUAGGCACAGAAGAUUAUGCCAAUCAAGGCCAAUAAUGUAACAGGGAAUAUUCAAAAACAACUAUACAAACAAACAUCUUAGAAACACAUUAUUUUGGUAGUAACAAACUUAGAAAGAAAAUUAUCAACAAAGGGGAAGCACCUACACAGUUUGUACAGAAGAGAAUAAGAAAGAACACCCUAAAUAAAAAUACAAGUUUGAAAAGACAUAUUCUGUUGAAACUCUUCACUUCUGUUGUGUAAGAAUGAUGAAGAAGAAACUCCUUCCAAACACCAUACGAGAUUGCAUCUCAUGCCAUAGCAAUAUCAAGGGUUAACACAGUUUUAAACAAGACAUAUUACCUAUUAUGUUUAAAGCAUUCAAAGCCAUAAAUGUCCAAUACUCCAAUUUGAAUCUGAGAAGUCAGAUCUUGCCCAACAGACCUAUUAAUCUUAUCAACAAGCCUAAAAGAAACGUUGAAACCAAACAAAUUCAGAUUGUCACAAGAACUCCAGAUAAAGAAAAAGGCACAAGCCCUUCAUUCAAAAUAAGAAUAACCCACAUACCAAUCAAAAAGUCUAGCAUAAACUGUCUUUGCCAAGGCAUCCCUACUAGCAACAGCAGCAUUACAGUCGAGAGCUUUUACAAUACUUCCUUCACGGGUUUGAAUUGUACGAGUACAUAAAGUCGCCAGCAAGAGGUUGACAUCACACAUAAAAAGACUAGCUGCCAUCUGCAUAUGAAAGCUAGACUUCUGAUCCUUUACAAUUGAAGAAUCAUGUUCUUUGCCAGGAGAAAAUUCAAUAUUUCCAAGAUGAAGAAUUGCAGCCAAGGUGCGAAAUAUAGCCUCCUGAUCUUCAUGACUGAUACCAACAAUCUCCAUUGCCCUCCUCGUCUUUAUGUACUCCUCCGCAUUGCUAAUUCCAUCUAAUUCAUAAGUCUUACUUUGAUUUAAGUAAUGAAAGCGGCUUGGAUGAUCCAAUUUGUACUUUUCUGCAUCCAUCCCAGAUGCACACAAUUGAUAAAAGCAAUGGUAGUUCCUUUCAGGAUCUGUUAUCUGAACUACACGAGACCGUUCCAGCAGGUAUGUUCUAAUAGCAGCACCAGAUAUUCGACCAUUUCCAUCAAACUGGAUCUCAACAAACUUUCCAAAACGACUUGAGUUGUCAUUUCUGACAGUCCUUGCAUUACCAAAUGCCUCCAACAGUGGAUUUGAUUCAAGAACUUGUUGUUCAACUGUUCUAUCAUCACCAGAGGCUCGACCACCAACAUAAGUGAGAUACUGCAUAAUCAAUUUUGUCGUCUCAGUUUUUCCAGCCCCACUUUCUCCACUAACCAGUAUAGAUUGGCUUCUACCUUCACUCAUCAUCGCUCUAUAUGAUGCAUCUGCAACAGCAAAAACAUGAGGACUUAGCUCACCAAAUGGUGCUCCUUUAUACUGCUCCAUCAUAUGCACGUUGUAAAGAUGAGGAAGCUUGGUGAAUGGAUUAACAGCUAUCAAAAUGCUUCCUGUGUAUGUAUAAAUAUCAUUAAGAGCAUAUCUCCUUUCGAGAUUGUAAAGGACUCCAGGCUCGUGCAAGUAAGUCAACUUCGUCAUAUCAUCCACUCCUCCAUGCUCCUCCUCAUCAUCAUCCCUAAGAAACAGCUUCUCCGGAGAAGCCAAAACCUUCUUGCCAGAAGCAGUGAGGACUUGAACAUUCUUUCCAACAAAAUCAGUAACUUCAGCAGCAACCCACGCCAAAUUCUUAUCUGGUGCCCAAACCUUAGUGCCCUUGCGUAGAUUCAUCUUGGGUUCCCAAUGAACGAAAAUCGAAACCAGAGCUUAAUAAAUAAAAACCCUAGAGAAGGGAAUUGCAGGUGAUAAAAACAAGAGAAACCCUAACAAACCCGAAAGAACAAUUUGAGGGAGGAAAUUUUCGAGUUCCCGCCCUCAGCAGGCAUAUAGACAGAGAGAAAGACAGAGAGAGAGAGAG
RNAcentral lists this unclassified non-coding RNA (2032 nucleotides) under Hevea brasiliensis (rubber tree). The record is from RNAcentral. Lineage: Eukaryota; Viridiplantae; Streptophyta; Magnoliopsida; Malpighiales; Euphorbiaceae.